Molecule: long non-coding RNA, 615 nt
Filed under: Manihot esculenta (cassava)
Lineage: Eukaryota; Viridiplantae; Streptophyta; Magnoliopsida; Malpighiales; Euphorbiaceae
Description: long non-coding RNA (MESC_LNC012732)
Source: RNAcentral
ACAAUUCCUUAGUUGUUACACCAAGUGUUCUUAUGUUUGAAAAAUUCAAGCAAUUACGGACUUAAAAUUAUCCAAACCAACAAUUAAUUACCUUGCAAUCAAGAAUCAAGUGGCCAAUUUGAUCAAAACAACAAAGUAAUAAUAGAAUUCAAGCAUGAACUGUAUGAAUAUUGAAUAACCGAAAGACAAACAAUAUAUGUUCAGAUCUCACAAUCCAUAAAUCAACCUUAGUUUCAACCAAUCUUCAACUAGAAUAAAAGGUUUCAGCCACUCAUGGCUGAAAUAAAAACCAAAAAAAUAAAGAAAGGAAGAAGAAGAUGAAGAGAAGAUGGAGCCGGAUGAGAGGCUUACGCAGAUGGUGUUGCAAAAACGUGGAGAGAGGAUCGGCUGGCCUUUAAGGAGUCUUUAAAUAGGUUUUAGAUGCUGACCUUGUUGCCCUAGAGGUACUUGCUGCCCAAGUUGAGUCAGAAAAGGAAAGAUUCGCGUUCCAAAAUUAUUCAGAAGGAAAGAGGCGUGCGCUUGCUCUUCAGAUGGAAAGUGGCGCGCGAAAUGGCUUCAAAAGGUAAGAGUGUGCUGUCCAAGAUUUUACUUGCUGCCCAAGUGUCUUCAAGAUGC